GACGAACGCUGGCGGCGUGCCUAAUACAUGCAAGUUGAGCGCUGAAGGUUGGUACUUGUACCAACUGGAUGAGCAGCGAACGGGUGAGUAACGCGUGGGGAAUCUGCCUUUGAGCGGGGGACAACAUUUGGAAACGAAUGCUAAUACCGCAUAAAAACUUUAAACACAAGUUUUAAGUUUGAAAGAUGCAAUUGCAUCACUCAAAGAUGAUCCCGCGUUGUAUUAGCUAGUUGGUGAGGUAAAGGCUCACCAAGGCGAUGAUACAUAGCCGACCUGCGAGGGUGAUCGGCCACAUUGGGACUGAGACACGGCCCAAACUCCUACGGGAGGCAGCAGUAGGGAAUCUUCGGCAAUGGACGAAAGUCUGACCGAGCAACGCCGCGUGAGUGAAGAAGGUUUUCGGAUCGUAAAAAUCUGUUGGUAGAGAAGAACGUUGGUGAGAGUGGAAAGCUCAUCAAGUGACGGUAACUACCCAGAAAGGGACGGCUAACUACGUG
This 497-nucleotide ribosomal RNA is filed under the name uncultured bacterium. Its description in RNAcentral is "partial 16S ribosomal RNA". It matches the Rfam family "Bacterial small subunit ribosomal RNA", at positions 28 to 507 of the family's 1533-position model. The record is from RNAcentral.